GUGGUCGUAGCUCAGCGGCAGAGCAGCGGUCUCCAAAACCGUGUGUCGCGGGUUCGAGUCCCGCCGAUCAUGCCA
RNAcentral lists this transfer RNA (75 nucleotides) under Rhodococcus (subgen. Prescottella) equi. RNAcentral describes it as "Rhodococcus hoagii tRNA-Trp". It matches the Rfam family "tRNA". Rfam says of the family: Transfer RNA (tRNA) molecules are approximately 80 nucleotides in length. Their secondary structure includes four short double-helical elements and three loops (D, anti-codon, and T loops). The record is from RNAcentral. Lineage: Bacteria; Bacillati; Actinomycetota; Actinomycetes; Mycobacteriales; Nocardiaceae.